This 344-nucleotide ribosomal RNA is filed under the name uncultured bacterium. RNAcentral describes it as "partial 16S ribosomal RNA". It matches the Rfam family "Bacterial small subunit ribosomal RNA", at positions 338 to 680 of the family's 1533-position model. The record is from RNAcentral.
CCUACGGGAGGCAGCAGUGAGGAAUAUUGGUCAAUGGGCGGAAGCCUGAACCAGCCAAGUAGCGUGCGGGAUGAAGGCCCUACGGGUCGUAAACCGCUGUUGCACGGGGAUAACACCCGCCACGUGUGGAGGUCUGCAGGGACCGGGCGAAGAAGGGCCGGCUAAUUCCGUGCCAGCAGCCGCGGUAAUACGGAAGGCCCGAGCGUUAUCCGGAUUGAUUGGGCUUAAAGGGAGCGUAGGCGGGCGUUCAAGUCAGCUGUAAAAUCGCGCGGCUCAACCGCGCCCCGCCGUUGAAACUGGACUCCUUGAGUUCACUACAGGCAGGCGGCAUUCGUGGUGUAUCG